RNAcentral lists this long non-coding RNA (331 nucleotides) under Danio rerio (zebrafish). RNAcentral's name for it is "si:dkey-224k5.12 (ENSDARG00000095042.3)". The record is from RNAcentral. Lineage: Eukaryota; Metazoa; Chordata; Actinopteri; Cypriniformes; Danionidae.
AGGUUUGGUAAAGGAGGCUCAUUAAUGAAAAGCACCAUAAAGGAGGCUCAUUAAUGAAGAACACAUUAAAAGGAGGCUCAUUAAUGAAGAGUGAAGCUUUGGAGACGACAGAAUUACAUCUAAAACAAGGCCCUCAUUUAUUAAAACAUCUCUUAAGGAAAUCUCGAUGAUGGCUAACUGACAAGCCCGGCUUUCUGGCUCAAUCAAAGAUUCAUGCAGUGUUGGUGGGGUGAAGAAGGGCAUCCGAAAAAGAAAGUUGACCAAAAAUUUGACGCACUGAGAAGCGAUGUCGAAAGGAGCCAUGAAAAAAAAUAUCACCAAUUCCAGUUAU